GAAGUGGGCAUCGCAUUUAUAGGCCUAAUAAAAUUUGGUGAAAUGUUAAAUUUUAUAAAGUAGAAAUGGAUUAGAUAGGGAAAUACUUAGCAAAUGCAGCCUCUAAGUGUUAGUUUUAUGAAUAAAUUGAACAAUGCAAACCUUAAUUUAAACAAUUUUAUUGUAAUUAUGCAUUGGUGUUGUUCAAUUGCACUGUGCGUUAAUUUUGCUCAAUGGCCGAAUGGAAUAGAAGUAUUUGCCAUAGUUACAAACAGCCAGGUCACUCGUUGUCAGUAUGCUUCAAGAAGGGAAGAUGUCCAAAAUGUGGUGAGGGGUUCGUGAAAGGGAUGGAGGUGAAAAAAUAGUGCAAACAAAGGAUGGAUGUUCCAUUGUUGUACUUGUGACUGUCAACAUUUCAAGUGGUGAGAUUUUUGCCAUUUGAAGAUAAACUAGUCCAGGAUCAUAUAAGCUCAAAGAUCCAACUGGUGACCUAUCGAGUGUGUUCUAAAUAUGCUAAUAUAGUCUAUGAAAAUGACUAUUUGGAGAUUUUCCUCAACAUAACUCUUUGCAAAGGGAAACGAGAUCUAGAUGACAAGGAUAAAGGUAAAAAGGUGUUAAUUAGAUGGUGUACUGUUGAUGUAAAGCAACUAUAUUACUUUAGAUGUGGUGUUUAAUUUCAAUGUAAUCGGAUGGUAUUGUUGUCUCGUAGUUAAAAAUUUUCAGAUGUAAUUCUCUAAUUAAUUUUCUUGAUACAGC
Molecule: long non-coding RNA, 735 nt
Filed under: Olea europaea (common olive)
Lineage: Eukaryota; Viridiplantae; Streptophyta; Magnoliopsida; Lamiales; Oleaceae
Description: long non-coding RNA (OEUR_LNC009764)
Source: RNAcentral